Molecule: non-coding RNA, 392 nt
Organism: Epinephelus moara (kelp grouper)
Lineage: Eukaryota; Metazoa; Chordata; Actinopteri; Perciformes; Serranidae
Source: the annotation of a RefSeq genome assembly
CAUGCUGGCAUCACUGCUCUAACAUAUGUUGAUGCAGCCAAAGUGGUGACCCAGACGCCUGCUGUCCACACAGUUUCCACAGGACAACAAGUUGUUCUCAACUGCAACAUUCAGAGAUAUGAUCGGGACUCUGUCCAGUGGUAUAAACAGGUUCCUGGUGAAGCUCCUCAGUAUGUUCUUCAAUUUUUUCUUGGGGAUGGUUCACUCAACUUUGGAUCAGGAUUCUCCUCAGACCGAUUCAACUCUAAAUCCUCAUCAAACAUAGAUUACCAGUUCAUCAUAAAGCGGACAGAGACAGGAGACUCUGCUGUCUAUUACUGUGAGACAUGGGACACCUCUGCUAAUGAAGUUGUAUCACAGUGAUUCACACUGUGACAAAAACCUCAGUGAGA